AACGAACGCUGGCGGCAGGCUUCAUACAUGCAAGUCGAGCGCUCACUUCGGUGGGAGCGGCGGACGGGUUAGUAACGCGUGGGAAUGUACCCUUCUCUAAGGAAUAGCCACUGGAAACGGUGAGUAAUACCUUAUACGCCCUUCGGGGGAAAGAUUUAUCGGAGAAGGAUCAGCCCGCGUUAGAUUAGGUAGUUGGUGGGGUAAUGGCCUACCAAGCCUACGAUCUAUAGCUGGUUUGAGAGGAUGAUCAGCAACACUGGGACUGAGACACGGCCCAGACUCCUACGGGAGGCAGCAGUAGGGAAUCUUGGACAAUGGGGGAAACCCUGAUCCAGCCAUGCCGCGUGAGUGACGAAGGUCUUAGGAUCGUAAAGCUCUUUCGCCAGGGAUGAUAAUGACAGUACCUGGUAAAGAAACCCCGGCUAACUCCG
Molecule: ribosomal RNA, 431 nt
Filed under: uncultured Paracoccaceae bacterium
Lineage: Bacteria; Pseudomonadati; Pseudomonadota; Alphaproteobacteria; Rhodobacterales; Paracoccaceae
Description: bacterial SSU rRNA
Rfam family: Bacterial small subunit ribosomal RNA
Source: RNAcentral